RNAcentral lists this ribosomal RNA (593 nucleotides) under Keratinophyton durum. RNAcentral's name for it is "eukaryotic LSU rRNA". It matches the Rfam family "Eukaryotic large subunit ribosomal RNA", at positions 63 to 669 of the family's 3401-position model. Lineage: Eukaryota; Fungi; Ascomycota; Eurotiomycetes; Onygenales; Onygenaceae. The record is from RNAcentral.
AAUGGGGACAGGCCCCCAAAACCAAGGCGAAUGAAGCGGCAAAAGCUCAAAUUUGAAAUCUGGCCCCGUCAGGAGCCCGAGUUGUAAUUUGGAGAGGACACUUCGGGUGUGGCCGCGGCGUAAGUCCCUUGGAACAGGGCGUCAUAGAGGGUGAGAAUCCCGUCUUGCGCCGCCGGACCACGCCCAUGCGAAGUUCCUUCGACGAGUCGAGUUGUUUGGGAAUGCAGCUCUAAGUGGGUGGUAAAUUUCAUCUAAAGCUAAAUAUUGGCCAGAGACCGAUAGCGAACAAGUAGAGUGAUCGAAAGGUUAAAAGCACCUUGAAAAGGGAGUUAAAUAGCACGUGAAAUUGUUGAAAGGGAAGCGCUUGCAACCAGACUCGGUCGCGGGGGCUCAGCGGGCAUGCUUGCCCGUGUACUCCCCCGCGUUCGGGCCAGCAUCGGUUCCGGCGGUUGGUCAAAGGCCCCUGGAAUGUGUCGUCCUCCGGGACGUCUUAUAGCCAGGGGCGCAAUGCUGCCAGCCGGGACCGAGGAACGCGCUUCGGCACGGAUGCUGGCAUAAUGGUUGUAAGCGGCCCGUCUUGAAACACGGACCAG